AUACUUACCUGGGAGGGGAGACACCAUGAUCACAAAGGUGGUUUUCCCAGGGCGAGGCUUAUCCAUUGCACUCCGGAUGUGCCGACUCCUGUGAUUUCCCUAAAUGUGGGAAACUCGACUGCAUAAUUUGUGGUAGUGGGGGACUGCAUUCGCACUUUCCCCUG
This 164-nucleotide small nuclear RNA is filed under the name Saimiri boliviensis boliviensis (Bolivian squirrel monkey). Its description in RNAcentral is "U1 spliceosomal RNA (ENSSBOG00000008086.1)". It matches the Rfam family "U1 spliceosomal RNA". Rfam says of the family: U1 is a small nuclear RNA (snRNA) component of the spliceosome (involved in pre-mRNA splicing). Its 5' end forms complementary base pairs with the 5' splice junction, thus defining the 5' donor site of an intron. The record is from Rfam by way of RNAcentral. Lineage: Eukaryota; Metazoa; Chordata; Mammalia; Primates; Cebidae.